AUUGAACGCUGGCGGCAGGCCUAACACAUGCAAGUCGAAUGAGCGGCGGACGGGUGAGUAAUGUAUGGGAAUCUGCCUGAUGGAGGGGGAUAACUACUGGAAACGGUAGCUAAUACCGCAUACCAUCAGAUGAACCCAGAUGGGAUUAGCUUGUAGGUAGGGUAACGGCUUACCUAGGCGACGAUCCCUAGCUGGUCUGAGAGGAUGACCAGCCACACUGGGACUGAGACACGGCCCAGACUCCUACGGGAGGCAGCAGUGGGGAAUAUUGCACAAUGGGCGCAAGCCUGAUGCAGCCAUGCCGCGUGUAUGAAGAAGGCCUUCGGGUUGUAAAGUACUUUCAGCGGGGAGGCGUUACCGACAGAAGAAGCACCGGCUAACUCCGUGCCAGCAGCCGCGGUAAUAC
RNAcentral lists this ribosomal RNA (406 nucleotides) under uncultured bacterium. RNAcentral describes it as "partial 16S ribosomal RNA". It matches the Rfam family "Bacterial small subunit ribosomal RNA", at positions 30 to 526 of the family's 1533-position model. The record is from RNAcentral.